RNAcentral lists this ribosomal RNA (493 nucleotides) under uncultured bacterium. RNAcentral describes it as "partial 16S ribosomal RNA". It matches the Rfam family "Bacterial small subunit ribosomal RNA", at positions 28 to 507 of the family's 1533-position model. The record is from RNAcentral.
GACGAACGCUGGCGGCGUGCUUAACACAUGCAAGUCGAACGGUGAAGCGCCUUCCUUUUUGGUGGGUGUGGAUGAGUGGCGAACGGGUGAGUAACACGUGAGUAACCUGCCCCCUUCUUCUGGAUAACCGCAUGAAAGUGUGGCUAAUACGGGAUAUUCUGGGUCUGUCGCAUGAUGGGUCUGGGAAAGAUAUUGUUUCGGUGGGGGAUGGGCUCGCGGCCUAUCAGCUUGUUGGUGGGGUGAUGGCCUACCAAGGCGGUGACGGGUAGCCGGCCUGAGAGGGUGGACGGUCACACUGGGACUGAGACACGGCCCAGACUCCUACGGGAGGCAGCAGUGGGGAAUAUUGCACAAUGGGCGCAAGCCUGAUGCAGCGACGCCGCGUGAGGGAUGGAGGCCUUCGGGUUGUGAACCUCUUUCGCCAGUGAAGCAGGCCUGCCUCGUUGUGGGUGGGUUGACGGUAGCUGGAUAAGAAGCGCCGGCUAACUACGUG